RNAcentral lists this ribosomal RNA (465 nucleotides) under uncultured bacterium. Its description in RNAcentral is "partial 16S ribosomal RNA". It matches the Rfam family "Bacterial small subunit ribosomal RNA", at positions 28 to 507 of the family's 1533-position model. The record is from RNAcentral.
GACGAACGCUGGCGGCGUGCUUAACACAUGCAAGUCGAACGGAAAGGCCCUGCUUGCAGGGUCCUCGAGUGGCGAACGGGUGAGUAACACGUGGGUGAUCUGCCCUGCACUUCGGGAUAAGCCUGGGAAACUGGGUCUAAUACCGGAUAGGAGCCAUUUUUAGUGUGAUGGUUGGAAAGUUUUUUCGGUGUAGGAUGAGCUCGCGGCCUAUCAGCUUGUUGGUGGGGUAAUGGCCUACCAAGGCGGCGACGGGUAGCCGGCCUGAGAGGGUGGACGGCCACAUUGGGACUGAGAUACGGCCCAGACUCCUACGGGAGGCAGCAGUGGGGAAGAUUGCACGAUGGGCGCAAGCCUGAUGCAGCGACGCCGCGUGGGGGAUGACGGCCUUCGGGUUGUAAACUCCUUUCGCUAGGGACGAAGCUUUUUGUGACGGUACCUAGAUAAGAAGCACCGGCUAACUACGUG